This 208-nucleotide long non-coding RNA is filed under the name Nicotiana benthamiana. RNAcentral's name for it is "long non-coding RNA (NBEN_LNC019975)". Lineage: Eukaryota; Viridiplantae; Streptophyta; Magnoliopsida; Solanales; Solanaceae. The record is from RNAcentral.
GGGGUCUGGGGAGGGUAAUAUGUAGGCAAGCCUUACCCCUACCCGAAAGGGCAGAGAAGCUGUUUCCAAUCGACCCCGGCUCAUAGGAUAAAAGGAAAAACAGCAGUAAAACACAAACAAAGACAAAAACAAAAACAAUAGAGCAUUAGUAACUCCAGCAGAAAUAACGUAAAUAGCGUAAAUAAUUAUCUAAACAUACGAAAUAUAA